This 253-nucleotide ribosomal RNA is filed under the name uncultured bacterium. Its description in RNAcentral is "partial 16S ribosomal RNA". It matches the Rfam family "Bacterial small subunit ribosomal RNA", at positions 524 to 776 of the family's 1533-position model. The record is from RNAcentral.
UACGUAGGGUGCAAGCGUUAAUCGGAAUUACUGGGCGUAAAGCGUGCGCAGGCGGCUUUGCAAGUCAGAUGUGAAAUCCCCGGGCUUAACCUGGGAACUGCAUUUGUGACUGCAUGGCUGGAGUGCGGCAGAGGGGGAUGGAAUUCCGCGUGUAGCAGUGAAAUGCGUAGAUAUGCGGAGGAACACCGAUGGCGAAGGCAAUCCCCUGGACCUGUACUGACGCUCAUGCACGAAAGCGUGGGGAGCAAACAGG